RNAcentral lists this long non-coding RNA (28569 nucleotides) under Ananas comosus (pineapple). RNAcentral's name for it is "long non-coding RNA (ACOM_LNC030075)". The record is from RNAcentral. Lineage: Eukaryota; Viridiplantae; Streptophyta; Magnoliopsida; Poales; Bromeliaceae.
CCGGUACUUUACUAUCGAUAGUAAUGAGCGCUUAAUGCUAUCAAAUUUUUCGCCGUUAGAUCUAUUUUUUUUUUUUUUUUUAUCUGUUAGAUCAUACUAUUCAAUUGCCCACCUACUUAAUAUUGGGGGAUCAUUAUCAUCCUAACCAAGGACACUAUCAUCUAACCACACUUCUCUUUAUCAAAAGGCUGAAAACCUAAUAGCACCAAGCGCUUAGUACUAUUAAUAGUAGAGUAACCUAAUUCUCUCUCUCUCUCUCUCUAUCUAUAUAUUUAUAUAUAGAGUUGAGCUAGAAUAUUCUCAAAAGUACCAAGAGGGUGAUGCUUUUGAAUUUUUAGUCAUUGGAUGGAGAGAUGUAAGAUCGGGAUGAUAGUGGUAGGUGGUGGCAGGUAGAAUUGUGUUUAAUCCAAGGGCUAUUAGUAAUCAAAUAGUAGAUUCAAGGGCUAGAAACCUAGAGGCAUCAAGGGGUUGAUACUUUUAAAAGUAUUCUAGCUCAAUUAUAUAUAUAAAAUCUUGCUACUUAUGUUAAGUAGAAUUUUCUAUUAAAUUUUCAUGUAAUUUGAAUACUUCUACACCGUUGAACUUAAAAAUGUGCCACAUCGACCGUUAAAAUAAUCAUUUUUUAGACCUUUUGAUCACUUAGUACAUGAUGUCAAAAAAAUCUAAAAUUUGGUUUCUAGAUAGUUCCAAUAGGGUAGAUCAUACCUAACGGAGCCGAUCGUCGAAUCGAAUGUCCUAUUAUGAAAAUAACUUACAAGCACAGGGCCUCCCGUACUUUCGAAAGUACGGGAGACGGACUCUAUAUAUAGAGCUAGGCUCCUAUGCUUUCAAAAGUACGGGAGGCCCCGUGCUUGUAAGUUGUUUUCGAUGAUGGGACAUCGGAUUCGGCGAUCGGUUCCGUUAAACUUGAUCUACGUUAUUGGAACUAUCUAAAACCAAAUUUCAUAAUUUUUUGAUUUCGUUUGUCUAGUGAACGAGUAGCCUCAAAAUGAACGAUUGAAAAUGAAAAUCUCAUAAAAAAUAGUGAUAAAGAAUUCAAAUUUUAAAUCGAAAGUAUUGAUCUUGCUACUGAUGUUAAGUAGAAUUUUCUAUUAAAUUUUCAUGUAAUUUGGAUACUUCUACAUCGUUGAACUUAAAAAUGUGCUACAUCGACCGUUAAAAUAGUCAUUUUUUAGACCUUUUGAUCACUUAGUAAAUGAUGUUAAAAAAAUCUAAAAUUUGGUUUCUAGAUAGUUCCAAUAGGGUAGAUCAUACCUAACGGAGCCGAUCGUUGAAUCGAACGUCCUAUCAUUGAAAACAACUUAAAAGCACGGGGCCUCCCGUACUUUCGAAAGUACGGGAGACGGACUCUUUAUAUAUAUAUAUAGAGCUAGUCUCCUACACUAUCUAUAGUACCGGGGCUCCGGUACUAUAGUUUCAUUUUCGAUCUUAGGGUGUUCAAAUCAACGAUCCACACCGUUAAAACUGAUCUAGGGUAUUUAAAAAUUUUAGAAAUAAAAUUUUAUAUUUUUUCGACAUAGUUUACUUUAUGAUCAAACCAUUUCAAAAUUGUCAAUUUUCAAUAGCUACUAUCGCGAGUUUGGAGUUUAACAGUGUAGAAGAAUCUAAAUUUCUUCAAAUUUUGAUAGAAAAUAUUUUAAACUAUCUAGAUUAAGGUUAACAUUCUUGAUCUUGAAUUUAAAAGUCCUAUACUCAAAUUUUAAAGAAUAUUCAAUUUCCACCGUUCAUUUUGACAUAAUUUAUUUACUAAGUAAACGAUGUCGAAAAAAACUAAAAUUUUAUUCCUAAGAACUUCAUACACCCUAGAUCAUAUUUAACGGUGUAGAUCGUUAAUUUGAACACCCUAAGAUCGAAAACAAGACUAUAGUUUCGGAGCUCUGGUACUAUAGAUAGUACAGUAGUCUAAUUCUAUAUAUAUAUUAAUAGUAUUCCAGUCUAAUUCUAUAUAUAUAUAUAUAUAUAUAUAUAUAGAAUUAGGCUGGAAUACUAUUAAUAGUAAAACGCUCUUUUUGCUAUCAAGUUUUUAACCCUUGGAUGAAAAAUUGUAGGAUCAGAAUGAUAUUAGUCGGUUAGAGUUGAGUGGUCCCCCUAGGGUUGAGUGGUCCCCACUGGGUUAUAGUAUUAAAUCNUAUAUAUAUAUAUAUAUAUAUAUAUAUAAAGGUGAGCUAGAAUAUUUCUCGAAAUAUUAGUCCUUUUUUACUUCUAACUUUUUCGCCGUUGAAUCAAUCAUCUUAAUCACCACUAGCCUUUAUAUCAAUUAAGUCUACUCUGUGAAUUUUAGGCCAACUCAUACGCAAAGAGACCUAUAUUAUGUGAAUUUCAACUAUUAGAUUAAGAUUUUAAUUUUUUAAUUUUCUUUCAACUUUUUACCCAGCAAUGGGACUAACAAUCUAACUUACUGACAAACCGUCCCUAGCGCAAGUGGCAAAGAGUUUAGUGGUUGGUAUUCGAGAUCCCAAGUUCGAAGUCUAUUUGCUUCACACUUUCAGCUGAGUUUAUUUUUUAAAAAAAUGAAUGAAGCGAAGAGCAUGCUACCUUUCUCUCUUUCUUAAAAAAAAAAAAAUCUAACUUAUUAUUCGCGAGCCAAUUCAUAUUCAGCUUGUUAAUAAACAAGUCAAGCACAAGCUGAUUUUUUCAGUUUAAUAUUUUAACGAGCCGACUUGUGUUCGACUCAUUUAUAUUAACAUAUAUAUUAUACGAGAUGACCUCAACUCGCUCAUGUUCGGCUCGUUGACAGCUCUAAAUAUGGUUUUCAAAAAAAUUUAUUUUUUCAGUGAAAUAAAAGUAAAACUUUAGAAUAGCUAAGUACAAUUUUAUGGAUCAUAAGAUGACAAAGCAAAUAUGGGCUAAAUUGAAGUAUACCAAAAAAGAAGAAAAAAAGGUUGAAGGUGCCAUUCAAAAUAACCUAUAGUUGAGAGGUCUCCAUACAUUUUUACCUUUGAAACAUUCUUUUUUACUAUUUGAAUCGUCAAUCUAACUUUUUAAAAUUUUAAUUUUAGUACCUAAUUUUUUAAUUCGGUUGAUUUGGAUGGAUCAACAGUACUUUGACUUUAAAAAUUAAGUUGAUUAUUUAUUUUAAUAAAAUUUAUAGUUACGAAAAUUAUAUAAAGUAUACUAACUAAGUAUGUAAAGAUAAAUAAUAUAUUCAAAUUCUAAAGUCAUAGUGUUAUUGAUCGAUUCAAAUCAAAUAAAUUAAAAGAUCGUGUAGUAAAAUCAAAAUAGUCCGUUAUUCAUACCAGUUCUGUGUAAACAUGUAAGGAUGGAUUUGAAAAGAGUCUAUAGUUGAGGGGUCUAUUCGUAACAUUCCCACCCCACCAACCCCCUUCUGCCACGUGGCAAGGAUCCGUGGAUCCGAAAGCAAAGUCGGCGACGACAUUCUCCUCUCAACGCAUUCUCUCUUCUUCGUCUUCUUCGCGCGAUCUCCCUCCUUCCCCCCCAACUCCGAAACCCUAACCCUAACCCUAACCCUAACCCUUAUCGCUAAUCCCUACCCCAGUUCCCCCGCAUCCGCUGCUCGUUCCCGUCGCUGCAGGUAACGCACUAGUAACGAUCCUCCUCGUCUUCUCCUCCCUCCUUUCGUGGGAUAUGUGGGUUCCGACGUUGAGAUCUCGGAUUUGGUGUUCUAGGGUUUCGGUUUUUUUGUUUUGGGCGAUUUCUGUUGGUGGAUCGGUGGAGUUGUUGCGAUUGCGGAGUCAAAUGCUAGAGGAGGAUCUGGUGGAGCUCAGAUUCCGGUUGUACGAUGGAUCGGACAUUGGCCCGAUGCGGUACUCGUCGUCCUCCACCGUCGCCAUGCUCAAGGAGAGGAUCGUCUCCGAGUGGCCGAAAGGUACGAUCCCUCGUUUCGCUCCCCUUACCGGAUCGUCGUAUGAUGCUCUUUUUGUUCAUGUGAAUUCAUAUACAUGGUCCUAGAUUGUUGAUAGUCGUAUGGAUUGGUUUGGUUGUAUGUUUCUUGAGGGUUUAUGUACUUAGGAGAGGGAAAUUUGGAAUUUCUUUUCAUGGAGGUGUAGAUUCACAAGAACAUUCUUUAGGACAAGUGGUACAUGGAUGAUUUGGAAUAAGAAAAUGAGGAAUCGUAUAUGAAGGAACUUGAUUUAGUGAGGAUAAUCGAGAGACAGGACCGAAAUGUCGAGUUUUGAUUCUUGCGAGUAGAUAGCUAUUUUCGUAUUGUUCUCUUCGAUACUGGAGAGCUUUUGGGUAUUGUGAUGAUGAAAUGGUCGGAACCUAAGCAUUUCAUGCUUCUGAAUGCACUGGCCUAGGUAUCUCAAGGAUUCACAUAUAUCAAGAACUUGAUGUUUGCCAUGUUAGCUUUGUUGUCGAACAUUUACAGGUGUCAUCUACUUUCGGGAGGGGAAAGGAAAACAGCUUUUAUUUGGCACCGGACUUUAGUUGAUUCUGUGAAUCUACUACAGUGUCGACAAUAAUCUAAUUCGCAAGGAAGAAGUGCUUGUUCCUGUUAGCUCUGUUGUCCGGCUUUUAUGGGUGUCAUCUGCUUUAUCAGGAGAAAGGCAAUCAAUCAACUUUUGUUUUGCACUGGGCUUGAAUUGAUUCUGUGAAUCUACUACAAUUUCUACAGUAAUCGAAUUGAUUCCGUGCUUGUACCUGAGUGCCUCUUUUAGCACUUGGUUGGACUGUAGCACAUGGAUGACACCACUGUUAUGUCUAAGCUUCAUUUUUGUGUAAAUUAUAAAACUCUUACACUAGUUAAAAAUUUCGAAGAAAUCCCUAAGUGAUAUUAAGCAUUUCAACAACAAUAAGAGUAACAGUAGCGACAGCAGCAGUAAUUAAGCCAAUAGUCUCACCAGUUGGAGAUUGAGUAUAUGGAUCAUUUUAUCCUAUUCUGCUUAGUUUGGAGCCUGAUACUUCAUCAAAGAAAGCGCUUUAUUGUACUUUUCACACUGUCUCCUCUCACAUAAGUUCUGGUCCUCCCCUUUCUCCCAAGGCAAGUUUUGAUUGAAAGAUAUAACCUUUUCUUCUAGGCGCUAUAUAUUUUCUUUCUUAGAUGAGUUAUAACAUCUUAACAAGUUAAAUAACCAGUUCUCCUCGAAUUCUACGCUUAUUAUAACAUCAUUUUCUUCAUAAGUUCAUAAUUUUGAACUUUAGUCUUUUUCAUUCAACCUACUGUAAAGUUUCUGUUCAACUUGAUGUGAACAUUUAAUCAUAGAAAGACUUUUCCAUAAUUAACCAAUAUGUUUUAGCUUGUGCUCAGUUUUUGAACACUCACCCCUUCUUAUACAAGUGAUACAAGGCCACAGAAGUCCUUUUAUGCUCGAGUCCAAUUUGCUAGUUGCUGUUACUAAUGUGAUAGUCGGAUAUUGGGGUGUCACAAAAUCACGUGUGAAGUUUCUCUUUUGAUUCGCUUGUUAUGCAUCUCAACCUUUCAGAUCUUUCACAAGCAGUUACAAAAUUAUUCCUUUUCAUACUUCUCUUAAUGAUUGUGCUGUGUAUAACGAUGCUUUACUGCAUGGAUAUGCUAGUGCUAAUAAUCAUAUUGUGCUGCUCCUUAAUUUUUACCUUUUCAAAUGCCCUGCUUUAAGUUCCAAUGAAAUGCGAGAGUAAAUGCAUGUUUUCUACAGAUAAAAAGAUUGCCCCAAAAGCUGCUACUGAUGUGAAACUGAUAAAUGCGGGGAAGGUUUUAGAAAACAACAAAACCAUCGGUCAGUGCAAACCAGCUUUUGGUGAGUUACCUGGUGGUAUUAUCACCAUGCAUGUUGUUGUGCAGCCAUCAUCAAAUAAGACGAAAGGUAUUCAUAUUUCUAUUCUUUGAGCUGUGAAAUAUCUUCUUUGGCGUUUCCCUUUCAAAUCCAAUUCGUGGAAAAGCUAAUAUCUGAAAGUUCAGAACAUUCUCAUUGUAAAUAUGAAUUUGAUUUUCUCGGCUUCUCAUUGUUACCGUAAUUUAUCAGGCUCCCUUUCAAUUCUCCGCUAUGCUAUCCAUGUUGAUAGGUAUAUUACUCAAGACCUGUCCGUUUAGGGUGCAAGUUGGCUUUUAUUCCUGAAACUGCAAAUUUAUACACUGGUGAAACUUGCCUACUAUUGGUUGAGGUUAAGUGGGUCUAGAAACCAUUUAAAUUGGCUUUUCGCAACUUGCUUUACCCCAUCUAUCCCACAAUGCCGUCUAAAUAUUAGUUCUUGCACUGAUGGUUAAUUACUCUAUUCAACACUGGUGGUUAAAUCACGAUAUCUAACAUUUCCUAUGGUCAUUGUUACUCGGACAAAUACUAAUAAUGCAGUUUAGAGAACAUAUAUUUGGAAUUAGCGUAACAUGGUUAGGGUCAUUUUGCCAACUUGUACUGUUCCGUUAUUCUUAGACCAAGUUGAUCCCUACAAUGUUCGUGCACCAAAUGUUAUUUUUAAAACUUGUAUUCUCAUAUUUUGCGUGAUUUUGCUGAACAAAAUUUUAUUUACAAUAUACUGUGAGUAGCAUCAUUCCUGUCGAUGUCCUUUUCAGGCAAGAAGCAUGCUUAGGGCAGUUGUAUCAAUUUCAUAAGUUUCAUUAGAUUGAGUUGUGAAUUGAGUAGCUUUUACAUCAUUUUGCAUGAAUCUUUUUUUUUCUUUUUUUUUUUUGAAGUGUUUGGAAACGAAACUCUGGUCUGAAUUCAAUACUAGGGAUGACACCUUACUUAUCUGUCGUUUUUUUGAACCUUUGGAUGUUUGAACCACCGAAAGGUUGUUGAUGGUGGCUAUGUUAUUUCCGUAUGAUAUCCUUUUACGACAUGUUUGGUACGCGACUGGAAUUAUAAUCCGAAACAGGGUUGGAAUGGGUUGGAACCAACAUGGGAAUGACCAAUUCGAUUAGUUUUUUUUCGAAUGGAAUGAAUAACUACCAUUUUGCCUUCGAACGAGAUUAGACUUUGGGAUUAUAGGGCAGAGUUAAAACCGGUGGGUUAGAUGAGUCCCAUUCAGCAUCAGAGUGGGAGUUGGAAUGUGAUUCCCUCGAUCAAACGGUCGUCAUAGGAGAAUGAUCAUGUCCGGUUCCCCAACUGAAGUGCAAAAUUUCCGCAACCGCGCAUGCCCUUAGAAUACAUGAUUAAAAAUUAUCAGUGCUUUCACUGUUCUGUGAGGAGUUUUUGGGCUAUUAUUAAGCCUACAAAACCUUUUACAUAGAAAAAUAGGCAUCCAAAAUUUAAUAUUCACCGUUUUUACUCUAAUUUAUAUAUUUUCUAUAUCCAAAUUUUAAAACAUGUAUAGUAUUAAACACUAAAAGUAGCUUUAAUCCUUUGAAGAAAGUAUUUAGAAAGCGGUAAUUCAUUCACCGUAUAGAUUUAGUUUUGUAAAUAAACGUUUUGGAGGACUUUUUUUAUAAUUAUAGUAUUUUCUAAGUCUUUUAAGUAAAAAAAUUUCAUUGUGUGAUCUUGCAGAAAAGAAGAUUGAUGAGUUGCCGGAGAAGAAGACGCCGUGUUCUUGUUCCAUACUAUGAAGGGCACGACACCCCCGCCUCUUUUUCUCUUCGCCUCUAUUGCGAGCUCACGCCCGCUGUCCUAUAUAGUCUCUCAAUGUGUUGUCAAAAUGUAGCGAAAAAUUAGGGGGAAAAAAAGGAAAAAAAGGAGAAUAGAAUCACGACCACGAUUAAUGGAAUUGCUGGUUCAAAAAGGGGGUUGUUAUCUGUGUUGUAUUGUUUUGUACGUGUAUUAUUGUUUGUUGUUUGUUGUUGUUAUUGUUGUUAAUGAGAGAAGCAAGAGGAGAGCAUGUCGUCGGCUAUACACACGCAUAAUCUCUGCUCUUUAUUUAGCUGCGUUUAGGAGUGGCAAUCCAGCUCGUGUUCGGCUUGAAAUGAGUUCGAGAUUGAAUCGCUGAAUUUUUCAGCUCGUUAAAUAAACGAGCCGAACAUAAGUUGGGGUCAGCUCGCUCGUGUUCGGCUUGAUAACAGUUCGAAUAUAUAUAUUUUAUAUUUAUAUAAUUUAUUUAAUAUAUAUUUAUAUAUAUAUAUAUAUAUAAAUAAUUAUAUAUAUAAUAUAUAUUUUUAUUAUUUCGUCUUUAGCAAAAUUAAAAUAUAAAGUCGAGCCCAAUUAUAAAAAAAUUUAUUUAUAUUUAAAAUUUUAAUCAUUUGAUCAAAGUCUAAUGAAUAACAUUAUAUAAAUUUAAUUUUUAUAUGUAUCUAAUCUAAUUCUUUUAACUUAUUGUUCGUUGGAGCUGGCCCCAGCUCGCUCGUGUUCGGCUCGUUGACACCCCUAGCUCCGUUGCCACUGAGACCCCUGAACUUUUAAAUUCAAACAUUUUAGUCCUUAAAAAAUUUUUCCUCGGCUAUACACGCACAAAAAAUUGAUGACAGUUUGAGUUAAUUUCGUAGGGAUAAACCACCAGGAGACCUUCGGUUAGAGUACUAGAGACUCGUAAAACAAAAGCAUCAUUCACUUUUUUUAAAAAAAAUAUUGGUACCUAUAGAUACUCGCAGAUUGUCCAAAAUAUCCAUAAUUUAAUAUGUAAUCAUCCGUUUUACUCAUGAUUUUUUAGAUAAAAAAAAAAACUAAUACCCAUACAUGCAAACCUGCGAGUAAUUCAUAGGUACAGGUAGAGGUUGCCAAGUCCGAACACAGCAUAAAAAUCCAGCAACCCAACCGAAACAGAAUGAAGUUGAGCGACCAGUUACAUAAUCGGUCCGAGAAGACUCACUAAAAUGAGGCCUCAGUGGUGAUCAAGCCACUUUGUGGGAGAGCCAAUAUCCCCGCGCGGCGCGGUCCAUCGAGGAAAGCGAGAAGUGCACCUUAUAACAACGAAAACAUGUGUAAUAUACUUGCAUGUACAGCACUUGUUGUGCGACUCGGGUUCAUCAGCAACUGUACAAACUAACAAUCAGAUUCAUCACUAAAGAGGAAAAAACUAACGAAGAAAGAAAAAAGAUCCACCCCCCUCAGACCGCAGUAGUAGAUGUACUUCCUCGACAGGCACGGCAAAACGCUUCAAACACAGCAAAAGCAAGUCGAAGAUAAUGAUCAUAUCAAGUUCCGGUGUAAUCCUCGGCUCCUACCAAGAGUGCUAUGCAUGUAGUGAAAAUGGUGGGUUAGUGUUAGCAAAGAGUCAGUGAUGAUGGUUCUCUCUUGGUAGGCGUUUGUUUCUUCAUGGAGGGGGAUCUGGAAUCACUACAAAGCCCUACAUCGUAAAAUCCGUUUCAAAACAGGCGCAAUGAAAUGCAAUCACCUUCAGGUCUUUGUGCCGGCGUUUCAUUGCUUGGGCUUCUUCCGACAAGCACUCAACUUGUCCAUCAGAUCUUGUAUUGUAGCGGAAGCUUCCUUCAAAAGCAGAGAGAGAGAGAGAGAGAGAGAAGAGGAUGAAACCAAAUGGUAGAGGGGAUCUAAUAAUAUAACUGAAGUACUUGUUCGGGAAAAAAAAAACAAAGUAGAGAGCAGUGUUUUUCUACCUUUAGCUUCUUCCUCAAAUUCUCCUCCUCUUUGUCACGACGGGUCCUUUCUUCCGAAAAGAUGUCGAUUAGAGCUUCUUGCUCGCUGCUUGCGUGCUCCAGUUUUCUAUUUGCAUCUUCCAGCUGGGAGAUUCGUAAAGCAAUUAGAGGUUAAGAAACACAUGACAGGCAUAGAAAAAUUCCGUCUUGAUUAAGAUAAUUCGAAAGAGCAGAUCCAUAUAAAGGCGACAGCUUAUUAUGACAAGAAGAGCUGAACGCGUUCCAGACAGAUCAAAUUCUCUACGUUCACAUCAAUUCAGCACUUCAAAUUGCUGAUGCCCAGGCUAGCAUUGUGGACUUAGUACGACUUAAAGAAGUGGCGAGGGCGAGUUGAGAGUGUCUCGAGGGAAACAAAAUAUUACAUGCAUAUCAAAUAAGACGUAAGGAGACUGUAUACUGAUUGGAGGUUGAAAAGCGUGAUACCGAGAUAAAGCAUAGAUCGGUGAUUAUAUAUCUGAAUGAUUAACCGCACAAAAGGCGGUGAAGACAACUAUUAAGAUUACGUCUUUAAAUCCACAUACAUAAUUUCAACAACUCUACUUAAGAAGGCAUUAGGUUCAGAUAUGUGAGAUGGAUUGAACUUACUUGCUCAGUUAGUGAUUUAUUCCUAUCCUUCUCAAUCUGCAACUCCCGUAACUUUGACGACUCCAUUUUUGAAAUCCUGGAAAAGAAGAACAUUUCACAACUUUAUCAGAUAUAGAUGCAAUGAAAUUGUUACUUUAUCGCAACUCUUUGCAAUAUGAUCUCGUACUUUUCCUUCAAGGCAAGGUUUUCAUCUUUCAACUGCUGGAUAGUGAGCUCAGGUGACAACUGACGAGCUGGUGCUUUCCCAUUGCAUGUUGCUUUAACUUCCUGCAACUAAAACCCAAACGAAAAAAAAAGAAAGAAAGAUGGAUCACAAAUACUGAGUGUUGCCGUAAAUAUACCGGCUGGAAAUUACUUUUGACACAAGCUAGCAUGUUCUAAGCUAACUCAGAAUCUCAAAGCACAGGUUUUACCAGAUCAGUAGCAUAUAAAAUUACAAUUACAUGCAUAGAUUAAAUACCAAAGCAUGGAUAGAUGAGGCAAAACAGAUUCUCUUUAUAUAAUGAUGCCAAACUGUGGAAUGGAGCUCAAUAUUCUUAUUCUAUUUUAUAGUGUUCAGACAAUUUUCCAGAAAAUGAGAAAUACCAGUUUGAACACCCUCUAGGGUUGUCAUACUGAGAAAGGAGAAAGACAAACCUGCUAAAAGUGUGCAAAUCUCUGAAAGUUGAUUCAAUCUUAUCUUUUAAUGGUCUAAUCUACCAACCUUUAAUUUGCCGGUUACCAAUAAGGAAACUAAAAUAUCUCAAGAUUAAUUAGACAUUUCGAAUGGGUUGAUUACAAAUUUGGACCUUGACCUUAGAUACAAAUCUCAACCUUAGACUUCUUACUGUAACAAUUUAGUCCCGGAAGUUUGCCCUUAAUUUCAAUUUCAGGCUCCAAAUUUCAAUUUGGUUCCUGAAUUUUGAUCUCCGUUUCAAUUUCAUACCUGAAGUUUGACCUUGAUUUCAAUUUUGUCCUCAGAGUAUCAAUCUUACGAAGGAAAGAUCUGACAAUGGUGCUGAUGCGGCACACUUUCAGAUGGUAGAAAACCAAACGGAGUUAAUUGUUAUGCAGAAAAAUGUUCAGGGACUAAAUUGUGAAAUCAAGGAGAAAUAUUUAGGGACUAAACAUGUCAUUAAUCCCUUUCGGAUUUAACAAAGGAACGGUACUUACCUUUGACUUAGAUCUGGUCGCAAUUCCUUCGAUUGCUUUAGCACCACUAGUUGCACUAUUAUUCACUCCAGCUCCUGCGUCAACCGGGCGUACUCGCGAAGGCAACGGUGAAGACCUACUCCCCUUCUGGAAGGAUUUUUGAGCAGGAGACCUACUCCCCUUCUGGAAGGAUUUUUGAGCAGGAGAGGUCUUAUGGCUACGAGAUCUGAAUCUCUCUGAGGGGGCAAACUCUGGGUCACUCUCAUCAGAUGAUUCAUUCAAUUGUGACUGUGAAGAUUCGGCACUAUUAAAUUUCGAGGACAAUGACUUCCCACCCUUCUGAUUUUUCUGAUUCAAGUUGUAUAUAGACUUCUCUGAUUGUUGAACUUUGGCUGAAUCUUUCGACUUGCCAAAAUUAGAUGCACUUGCUGGAGAAACUCCCUUCCCAGAUCGAUGAGAUGAUGGAUGAGGAGCAGCCUCGGGUGAGCUCUCUGCCACAGAAUGGCAAUAGUUUCAAACUUCAAUAAACACCGAGCUUAUGCAGAUGCAAGGUUUUAUACUGAAUUUGUAGGUGAAAUAUAUUAACAAUAAUUCUUAUAUAUGUGCCUGUAAUGAACAGAAUCCUUCCACAAUAGGGUCAAACUGAAGCCGUGAUAUAAGCCAUAAAUCCAUAACAUAAUCAAAUGACGAAAGAGUUUUAGAGAUCCAAAUCUGACCCCAAGUCAUGCCAUUCUAUGAGUUAAUACUUGGCAAAACUAAUGAAAGGGGGGAACAAAAAUCCUUGAAAACAGGAAGGACAUUAUAAAAGAAGGAGAAGCAACUUAGAAGAUUAGGGAUAGUAAGGAAUAGGUCAAUUUUUGGGAGAAAAAGUGGGUUUCAAAGCACCUUUCUAGAUUUCAGGCAUUCAGUUUAACAUACAAUCUACUUUGCUUAACUUUAGAAGAGUUAGAAGUUCUUUCUAUACCUCUAGCAUCUGAUUGAUCAUCUUUCUUAUUACGAAAUUGGACAUAGCCAACUUUAUGAGAGUUCGUUGACCUGGGGGGAAAAAAGAAAGAAGAAAACAUAAGUAACAGAAAGCAGUUUAUUGGUACUAACAUUUCGUUAAGCUAGAUGCCAUAAAUGCAAUAAAAGCAGACCAGUAUGAUUUCUGCAUUUGGACUAAUCGUGCUUCAAGUCGAGAGAGAAUUGUUGUCCGCUCAAAAUCCUGUUUAUCAUGAGCUGGUUCAACGAAAUUGGCCUCCAAUACACCUGUAGUAUAGCAUGUCGAAUAGUUGUAAAUUUGUCAUCAUUGCAAAAAUAUUAAGAAAACAAAAGAACAAAAUAGGAGAUACCGAUAACACCACGGCCACCACUACCAGCAGCAGUCCAAACCCUCCAGAAAGGCUAGAGAAAAAGGAGGAAGAAAAAAAGAGAAGUGAAAACCUUGCAUUGUAGGAAGCACACAAAGUAGAAAAAAGGAAAAAACUUGUGUUUUUGGCAUAGUUGUCAUCAGGCACUUGAGAGUAACUUCAACUAGAAUAAUCAAGGAUGCUCGAUAGCUCCAAAUUGCAUAUAUUUGUAUACUUGCAUGCAUGUAAAUGUCAAUUAGAAUGCUUUCAAACCAGUAGUUGUUUCCUAGAAGCUUUUGGACUAGACAUUGUGAUUCACCCAAUAGGGAAAAGAAAAACGUGAUUCAUGGGUGGAGUUCCUGCACAUUCAUCUAUAUGCCUGAGUUCUAUCCAUCUUUUCCGAUAAGCACUUAAACCUUAGUGCUUUCCUUGCAAGUAUAGCAAUCUUCAACUACAGAGGUAGGGCUUCACCUUACUUACAAAAGACCCAAAAUUUUCAGCAUGAGAUGCGAUGUUGCUAUCUUUCAUCUCUAACGAAAGUCAUAUUAUUUAAACCAUGCCGAUAAUGAUGUUUGUUUUAUAAUUUUUUGCGGUCUAACAAUACUUCUUUAAAGUUUUAAAUCACAUUCACUUCAUCUUUGAGUUAGGAAAAAUUGUUCUCCAAUACAAUGGAUUUUGCAAAGAAGUCAAUCUUAGCACGUGUUUGUGGUCAGAAAUAAAAUUAAUGGACUCAAAGCUGUUCUUCGUAACUGGAUCACCUUUGUGGCUUUUGGCUUCAGACAAGUUGUUCUCUACUUUCCUUCCUAUACUAGUGAAAUACCCGCGCGAUGCUGCGAAUAUAAAAAUAUUUUUAUAAUAAAUUUUACUUUUUUUAAUAUUUUUAUAUAGUUUUAUAAGUAUAAUUAUUAAUUAAAUAAAAGUUAUAUAAAAAUAAUUUAAUAGUUAAACCUAUUUAAAUAAAAUUCAUUAAAAUUAGUAUAUGCGCAAAGUAAAUUUAUCGAACAAUUUAUUUUAUAAAGAUUUAUAUGAAAAGGAUUUGAGAUAAAUCUAUCAAAUAAAAUUGUAGAAGAAAUUGUUUAAUAAAAAUUAAUUAUAUAUAUACACAUAUAUACAUUAUAUUUCUAAAAUUUUACUCCUGAAAUUUAAACUCUGUAUUUUUUUAAUACAGCGAUAUUUUACGUGAUUUAAAUUGCAUAUAUUAGGUUAGAUUUUAUUACGCGGUUUAUUACACGUAUUAUUAAUAAAAUUAAUUAAAUAUAAUAUAUUAAUUAAAUAUAUUAUAGAGAUUAGAGAUUUUAAAUUUUAAAUUUUGAAGUUUAAAAUUUGGAAAUAAAUAUUAUAAGUUAAAAUUAAAAUUGAGAAUUUAAAAUAUAAAAUAUAAAAUUUGAAAUUUAAAACUUUUAAAUUUGAAAGUAUCAAAAUUUUAAAUUUUGAUAUCAAAAUUUAAAAUUUUAUAUUAUAUAUAUUCAUAUAUGUAUAUAAUAUAUGUAGAGGGAGAGUUAAUUAAUUAAUUUUAUAGAGUUUAGAGAUUUAAAAUUUUAAAUUUUGAAGUUUAAAAUUUGAAAAAAAUAUUAUAAGUUAAAAUUAAAAUGAGAAUUUAAAAUAUAAAAUUUAAAAUUUAAAUUUAAAAAUUUAAAAUUUGAAAGUAUCAAAAUUUUAAAUUUUAUAUUAUAUAUAUAUAUAAAUAUAAAUAUAUAUAUAUAUAUAUAUAUAUAUAUAUAUAUUAUAUAUCAUUUAUAUAUAUAUGUAGAGGGAGAGAGAGAGUAAAGGAGGGUUUGGGGGGACACGUGUCACCCCUUGGUCCCCCCAAACCCUCCUUUAAUGUAGCAGAAAGAAAGAAUAGAUUUUUCUAAAAUAUAUUCAAGUUCCAGCCUGCUCCAAUAUUUGCUUAAAAAGGUUCAACUGAGCCGCUGGUAUGAAGGAUUUCUUUUCUUAUUUCUCCCUCUUAGGAAACUUAAAUAAUAUAUCAUUGAGAGCACAAUAAUUAGUAUGUUUGCACUAAAAAUUUGAAAAGUGGUCUGUGAAUAUAGGAAGACAUGAGAGCAAAAUAAACAGGACAAAAAUAAGGAGAUAUACCUUUAUUAGUAGAAGAAAUAAGGAGAUAUACCUUUAUUAGUCGGUUCUUGUGAUAAACAUUAAAUCCCUGAACAUCAAUGUGAUGUUUUGCAUCCUUUACAAAACCAAUUGUCACAACAGCAACCAUCUAUGAAGUGGAAAAGAUGGGUGGAAAAAAAAUCAGAUAUAUAUAAUUUGAAGUACAAAGGUGAAGAAAGGGAAGCAGAAGCGGGUAUAGAGCUUGGCAUUACAUUAGGGUCCUUUGAAUGCCCAUCAGCAUACUGCGGCCGAUAUGUAACCUCUUGCUUAUGCAUCAUAUCAUUCACAAUAUUGUGGUGUUCAACCUCCUUUCCACGCAGAAUCAUUCUAAAGAAAUGCGGAAGUCUGAGGUAGAGAAUAGAGGCAUAACUCUGCAUGUAGGGAAAAUAGAAUAUAGCCAUAAAAUAAAACAUAUCAAUCACAUCGAAUGCCAGUGGAUGUUAGCAACGCAAUUUCAAUGUAAGACUAAUUACAGUUAAUUAGGGUAAUGUAUGUUACUCAAUUUUGAUGAUGGUAACUCAUCAAAGAAGGGAAAAACAGUUAAUUGUAGCAAUAGAACUGCCUUAAAAACUAUCCAUCAAAGCAUAUCAUUUUUUCGAUGAUACUCUGAUUCAUAUCAAAAGAUGAAUUGGUUGCAAACAUAAGGUGAUUAAGACCCGAUGAUUGAUGAUUUGUUGUAUAACAUUAUUGAACUUGAGAGGAUAAUUUAUUGUAACGAUAUUAUACAACGUUACACACAAGUAAUCUCCUUAUUUCCACUAGCUUGCGUUUUGACUUGUCUAUAGUUUCACAACUGAAAAUUAAGGCAUCAGCAAAAGAAAAGGGCAGAUACUCUUUUUGCAUGCUUUGAAGAAAUGCAAACCUGUUUUGCUUUUGAUUGCACUGCAGUUACUCUCUUUUGCAGGUUAAUUGUCAACUACUAACAUCCAAAGCAACUUGAUAGAAUAGAAGCAACUUUACGAAAUGACCAUCACUAUCACACAGUUAUCUGGUUCCACGAAAGUAGGAUCACUACAAGGGAAUAUUAGUAGAUGGUCCCAACUUCAACAUUUGUAUGUUAACUUUUAAUAAACAAAUUAGUUGCCAUGUCUUAGCAUUAAGUUAAAGAGACAGAUAAAACUUAAAUGCCAUUAAAUUAGACAAUCAGCUAAUAUAAAAUCAGAAUUUUUUUUUAAAAAAAAUCAAAAGAUAAAAGUUUCAACAUGUUUAACUCUACUGGUGACAACAACUACAUUACUACGUCGCUUAUUUACUAUAAUGGGAAGCAAACUGCUCUAAAAAAACAUCAUGUGGCUAGAAAACAAUAGCACUUGCACUUUUCAGGCAGCGUAUAUGACUAGAGCAAGGUGAGUAAGCAAGCCAUAAGAGUAAAAGAAGAUAGUGAAACUACUACAGAAGAAGAGAAACAAUGCUACUUAUAUGAUAUUCUACACUGAAGUCCAGAAGAGUCACCCUUAGAGAAUGGCGGUAUGUCAGGAAAUGCUUCGAGUUUGGAAACUGCUUAGCCAUUUGAAUAUUUUUCUCCUCCCGGUUAGCACCUCUAACUUGAAUGUCCUGCCAUAUCAAAGAACAGCAAAGAUCUCAAGAGACGUAGAGAUUGGCUAUGGAUACUGAUGGUAAUUAUUUAAUUCAGAAAAAGACAAACACUUAAUUGCCUGAAUACAAUGAUUUCCGCGACACGAACUAUUGUAGGGACAGUAGCUCAUCUUACUAACUGGCACUUACAUGUUUGUCAGUAUAAAAAUCGAGUUCCAAUUCUCCUUGAUCAUCCUCCCAUAGGUUGUAUAUCACUAUUCGAGUUCCCUGAUCCUUCAGUGAGCUAAACUGCAACAAGUCAUAUCAUUAGAAAACAGUUAUUCUAAAACUAGCCCUGUACUAUUUUUUAAGGACUUGUACUUCGAGUUUGAGUGCACUAAACAAAUAAAAAUCAUGGUGACAAAGCUGACGUCUCACAAUUUUAGGUUGUCCCAACCCAAAAAGUUGCAACAUAAUGACUUUUUUUAGACAUAAUGAAGAAGAACAUGAGCAUACCAUUCUGCAACUUAAGGGAAUUAUCUCAUUGUCGAACCUUUGGUUUUCUUUUCCUUUCUUUUAUUUACAUACACCAUGACCAAAGAGGAAUUUAAUACCCACAGAAAAGCUCAUUAAUUCCAAGUGAUUACACACCGCAGGUCAUUUUGGGUGGUGAAAGGUUAAAAAACAAAACCUUGGCAACUUACUAACAUAAUAAAUAAUUUAAUAAUGCCAUUUAAGUUGUUAUCAAUAAUUCUAAGGCCAUUUAUAGUUGAACGAAAAGGAUAUUCUGAUGCUUAUUUCUUAGUUGGAUCAUUUAGUCAUUAAAUAGCUGAUCAGCAUUGACCAGAAAACCAAAAUAAAUCUAUAAUCAAGCUUUAAAUAAGAAUUAAAACAUGUAAAACCUAGCAAAGCAUAACUACAAAAUAUAUUUAUUUGAAAUCAGUGUCACAGGUCCAAUGGAAAUGCAUUACCUGCUGAAGAAGAUCAGCCUCACUUGAAUAAGGAGACCAUUUUAUAAUUGUCUCUAAGUUUGUAUUCCAAUCAGCUGGAGUUGUUCGUGUCAUUUGAUUCCAGCCUUUUUCCUUUUCAUAAUCAAGCUGCAAAGUCAGCAUAGCAAUUAAUAUCACGCCGGAAAAGAAAAAGGACUACAGUCCAACUAGAAGUUGAUAAACGAAGGCAAUUGUAACGUAAAAGGAACACGAAGCAAAAGGAAAAAAGACAGAAAAAGAAAAGGAGACCAUUUACAUGUUCCUGAAAGAAAAGAGCAUAAACACAAACCUGAAGAACUAUAAAGAAAUAUAGAUUGUUUUCCAACAGUCGCUUUAAAUAUAUAGAAUGUAUCCUUCUACAUAAAGCUUUAACAGAGAUAACAUGACGUAGAUAACCCAAUAUUCAAUGUCUGAAUUAGAUUCAAAUAUACUUAGUCUUGCUUUUCUGUUCCACAUUUACACAGGCACAGAAUGAAAAGGUAUUAGACUAAGAAUUCUUCCUCUGCCACACUUACUCCUUAAAUCAACUGCACUAUCCCAUCCCAACAAGUUGCAAAUGCUCAAAGCCACCAGCAGUGGAUUCAAAAUAAUAUAGUGUCAGAAGACGGAUCCAUCUGGGUAAUUAAAAUAUCAGCCUUGGCUACGCUGAUUAAUCAUAACUCGUCAUGUUAAUAACUUAGUAUCCCACUGUUGUCUAAGGACUCUUAAGGUUAUAUCACCCAUCAUUGUGGACUCACUUCUAAGAUUAAAGAGAAAUAUCUACAUCACAAAGAAGAUUAUCCACCAAACAUAGGGGUAAAGGAUUUCUGCACGUAGGCUACAAUAGAAAAGUUUGUCAAAGGAUGUAAAUAUAGCAUACCAUUGGUACUACAAUAUCUUCUUUCCCCGUGCUUCGUAGGAAGGUGUACGAUAGCAUUCCAAUACUCUGUGUGGGCCUACAGACGAACACCCAUCACCCGAAUCCGCCAAGAAAGGAAAAAAGAAAACAAGAGAGAUGGAGAAUCAAUCUCUGCAUGAAUGAAAAGAAAACAAUUUGAUGCAAACCAACAUUGUAACUUAACAUUCCAUGAUCCAACAGCCUUUCUUAUAUUUGGUUAACAUUCCAUAAUCAACAGCUUUUCUAAGGUUCCUUUUAGCUAAUCACAUUGUUGAGGAAGGCUUUACAUAUGACAGCGACAUGAUAGAGAUGAUUAAUGUAUACAUGAAUUUACCCACAUUGGUGUAAGAGCAAAUUGACAACCUUUUUCCAUCUUUUCCACGACUACGGGAGAAAACAAUAACAUCAGCUCCAAGUCUCAUGGUGCUAGUCUUGAAGCCAUUUCCAUCUGAAACAUGGAGAAAUCUUGCAUGUUGAUCAAACGUUACCACUAAAUAUCCAUAAAAGGAUGCAUUUUAAAUUUAAAAGUCUAUUUUUCCAGUCGGUAUGUUUGAUACUCACAUUGUCCAAUAGUGCUUGCCAUUUUGCACUUUGCUGAAUAACCCAAGGACAUGCAUUGACGCAUUUUAUCUGGGUCCAUACCACCACCAUUAUCUGCAGAGAGCCACAAAAAUGGAAAACUUAUUUACAUAAAACCUAAACAUAUACUGUACUCUAUUUCACCUGAUUCUAUGUAAAAGAGAAGAUGGAAUUGCUAGAACAUCAUCAGAGCAUAAAUGAUUGCUGAAGAUCAAAUACUAGCCGAAAGAACAAAUAAGUUAUAUAACAUGAUCCAAAAUGUUCUAAUAGUGGCAAACAAUCUGGCUAUACUUGCAGGCGCAAAGCUAGUCAAACUACUCAACAAGGCUUUGUUUUUCUAUCAAUUAGAAAGAACAAAAAAAAGGUUCCCUACCUUCAACCAGCAACAUUCUUGAGCCGCCUUUAUUAUUAUUUAACAUAUCAAUGUUCACAUAUGUAGCUCCAUUGCAAACCUGUAAAUGAAGUUAAUAUAAGUAUAACACCCAAAUGAAGCAAGUGGGAAAAUUUAUGUUGCACAGUUCGAACUAGAAGAGUACCUCAUCAAGAGCAUUAUCCAAAAGCUCAGCCAAAGCUGUUACAGCAAAGAGUAGAAAUUCAUAGAAAUUCGUCAGAUGAAUAGAUCAAAGACAGCUAUGCAAAGACUACCACCUCACUAUUAGCUUUGUAGGUUCCCAUUAUAAAUUAAAAGCCUGUUGGGCCUAAUUAGAGAUUUUAUAAGAGUGCUGUUUUAGCAAAGUUGUUAGAAAAGCACUAAUAGCUUUAAAAUUAAAAUCCUCAAAAGGCAAAACAGCUUCUCACUGCAACAGAUGAAGCAGCUUCACAUAGAAACUUCCACUUUUGGCUUCACAAGCUUAUUUUAGCUUUCAUAAAUAGCAAAAGCACAGAUACUGUUUGAGAAAUGGCCGACAGCCGCUUUUGGUUAGGGAGAAGUCCAAGCCAGACCAGAUCAAGCCACAAUAGAAGAGUCAUUGAAUGACAACAAAAAGUAGCCUCCUCACUCCUCAGAGCCUCAAGAGUUAAAUUAGACAAAAAGUUUACCUCCAAGGGCCCACUUGUGACUGGUAGCAUUUGAAUGUAGAAACUUAGGGUGCACUCUGACAUGAUCCAUCCCUGCUCCUGUAAAUUUUUUUUUUUUCCAAUGUUACACCCCUAAUCCUUGAGUGGGAAAAAAAAAUGUGCCAAAACAGAAACGCCGACUAAAAGGAUAUAGUAAAAGAAAAAAUUUAAAUAAGUAAGCUCACUCCAACUGUCAAAAAUGUAACAAAAGGAAAGGGAUGUUAACAAGCUAUUGAUAGAGCAGAUGUAUUGAAUACCAAUUGAAUACUCUGCAGGUCCAAUGUACCAAUUCUGUAAAUAACAUUUCUAACUCCGUCAAUACAACCACCACAAUGAAAUAGUCAUACAUAAAAUACAAUAGCCAGUUUGGAGCUGGAUAUAUGAAUGGUAACUCUAUAUAUAUAUAUAUAUAUAUAUAUAUAUAUAUGGAGGCCCUUUACUAUAGGCCAUUUGGAAAGUUAUUUUAGUCAAUUAAAUUGGGGAUUUUAUCAAAUUCGCAGUAUAUUCAUCAAAUUUAAUGAUUUUAAUCAUUUAUUGAUAGAUAAAACUACACAAAUUAACGGCUAAUAGCAAACAGAGCUAUUUAAUUUAACCAAAUUUUUGACAUAACUAAGUACAGCAACUCAAUUUUAAAAAAAAAAAAAGAAAUUUGACGUUAAGGGGGCCUCAAUCAAAAUAAAAAUAGUUGAGUCGGCUCUUUCAUAAUGGUCUAUAGUUGAGGGGGUCUUCAUACAUUUUUAUUCAUACGAGAUUCACCAACAUUAACUUAACUUGUCACCUCAUACAUUUUCAUUUAUAUUUGUUGCCAAUAAAUCAGGUUUUUCCAAGUAUAUGCUAACAAAACUUCUACUUCUCACUGUGUAUGAGCAAAUAAAUGUACUCAAAUAGCAUAAAAAUUAUUAAUAAGCACCAAUAACCCACUCAAAAUGACACACAUGCACCAUUAAUAGGAAAUACACGACUAAAAUUGCAUUUCCUAUUUAGAACAAAGGGUUUCUACUUGCGGAUGAUUCUAAGUCACUACGAAUUCAUGAAAUAAUCAAUUGUACUAAAUAUUUCGAAAAAAGAUCAGAAGAACACCUGACAUGGGCGUGGAAUCGACACCGCCGAGGCUCCCAUCGUAGUCCCCGGCCUUCCAAAACUGCUUGGAACCCUGAAUCGCCGCCGCCGCCGCCGCCGGAGACGGCGCCGGAAGCGGGAGCGGCGGCGGGGCCUCCGGCGGGAGCGGAUCGAGGAAGCCGACCGGGAGGGCCUUCGCCCUCGGCCUCUUCGGCCGCGCCCCCUCAGCCUCCGCCUCGGCUCCGGCCCCCGAAACCCUAGGCCGCUUCGCCCCUACUCCGCCGCCGCCCCCCUCCUCCUCCGGGUCGGAGUCGCUGUCGCUGCUGCUGAGCUCGAUCACCGCGUCGGCGGGGGCGAGUGACGGCGCCGCCUCCGCCUCCGCCGCCGCCGCCGCUCCGGCGAUCGGCCGCGGAGGCGCGGGGGAUUCGACGAUCUCCUCCUUAACGAGCGAACCCAUGGGAAAGGGGGAGUGCGAAUUGGAGAAAUUAGAGGGGCUCUUUUGCAAAAAGGAACGAAGAGGGGGAGGGGCGAGGAAAAGGAAAAGGUCUCUUUCUCGGGCUCGGAGAGAGAGGCCCUUUAAAAAUUAAAAUAAAUAAAUAAAUAAAUAAGGACAAAUUUACGCCAGGACCCUUGACAAAAAUUUAUUACAUUUAACUCCUAGAACAGUGAAAACUCACGGUGUUUUUGUGGACCACGUUCACCACGUCAUCAUAGACCUCAACGUAUGCAUAUUCCUUUUUCUGUGAUCUCUACCGUACGUAAGGGAAAUAUUUUCAUAGGUGAGAGAAAGUGAAUUUGAUGAACGGUGGAGAUUCAACGGGGAAGAGAUGGAGGGGUAAAAACUCUUGUGGUCUACGGGUGGCGCAGUACACAUGGUCCAGGUAGUAUUUUCCACCAGUGUACGCAAACGUGCUCUCCCCAACACAUACAAUGCAAUAUUGGGUGGUUAAAUGGUAUGUAGAUCCCUCAACUAUAAGUUAAUCUGGAACUAAGCCUUUAACUUUAUUUUUUACCAAUUAUAGUUUUUUAACUUUUUAAACUAAAAUAAAAAUUUGUUAGUAUCAGUUUAAUUUGACAUAAUCACGGUAAAAUAUAAAUAAAUCAAUAAUUUUAAUGAUAAAAUAAUUUAAAAUUUAAAAUAAUAAAAGUUUCAAAAAUAGCUGUUUUUGAAAUAGCCCCCUCAAUCCAUUUUUUUAAAAUUGAGUUAUUCAGAAAUUUUAUUUGAAAUUGUUUUUAAAACUUGAAACUUUUAUCAAUCUACUAUUAUUAAUUACUUUAAUUUAAUUUGAUAUUAAACUAAUUAAAUUUCCGAGCGUCAUUUUCAAGUCCAAUACAGUUUAGGGCGUCUCAGUGCAUUUUCACUCAGCAUCAAAUUUUCAGGAAAAAAAAAAAUAGUUGAAAAAUAGUUGAGGGCACUUUUCAAAUUUCCCUAUACAUUAGGGGGGAUACUGUACAAAUUUGCCUUUGGCGGGUUCUUGAAAAGAGUCGGCGCAGACUCGUGCUAGGAUUCGGACACGUGUAAAAUGAUCGGCGGAGAUGAUCCGUCGAUUUGAUUGCAUCAGGAUUUGAUUUGACGUGAGAGACAACCCGCUGAGCACGUGAACCGCACGUGAACUAGCGCUAUUUCAAAAUCUCUGGGCACAUGCUACGCACGUGCCAUAAGUGUUUUAUGAUUUUUUCUUAAAAAUUUUGGUUUUGCUCUCCAAGUUUUUAAUUUAUUUUAUUUGAGUCAGUAAAUAAUAUUUUAACUUCAAAAUUUAAAUGAGUCAUCUAUUUUUUUAGGUUUAGUUAGUAUACUUUAUACCAUUCUCGCUAUUAUAAAUUUAGGUCAAUUUGCAUAAAAAAUGAACAAGUUUAGAGCUUUUGCAAAAUUGAGUCGCUUUUUUUUAUUUACAGAUUCGGUCCGAAAUUUCAACAAACUGACCAAAAUAUUUUUAUAUAUUUUUCUCUCUUUUUUUUUCUCUCGUUUUUUCUUUUUUUUUCUCCGAAGAAGGCGACAGAGGCGGAAACAGAAAUGGUCCGCCCCGCCUCACCUCUGCCCCUCACGGUCUCGCCCUCACCCUCGCCCUCGGCCUCGCCUUUACCCGCGCACCCCAGCCCUCCAACCUCACUGAAGCCGUGCUGCGACCAUUUUUUUUUUUCUCCAACCCUCCUCCACCACCGUCGCGGCUCUCCGCAACGAUAGCGAGGACGGUACCGCGUCCUCUUCCUCUGCCUUCGCCCUCCACUUCCACUACAGCAGAUUUUCUAUCCGCCAAACAAAUCCGUCGUCCCCACCGCCGCCGACAAAGAGGAAGUGCUUUUCGGGACCGAGAAGCACGCUGGCGAGGGAGGCGCAAAAAAAUGAUUACACUCCAGCGAGGACGGUGGCUGCGAUAGAGAUAAAGGGAGAAAAAGAAUGAAGAAAAAGAUGAAAUCGUACAAUUAAAAUAAUGUUAUACUAUUUUAAAAAAAAAAUUGUAUUGUUUUAAAUGAAAGUUGUACUCUUUGAGACUGAAAUUACACUCUUUGGAAUGAGAAUUACACUCUUUAGGUGAAAAUUGCACUCUUUGGGUGAAAUUUAGACCAUUUCUUUUUUUCUUCUUCCUCCUCCUCCUUCCCCUCCUUUCUCGGGGUUUGAUUUGACGUCACCAGCUGAGCGCAUGAACCGCACGUGACUAGCGCUAUUUCAAAAUCUCUGGCAUUGUUUUAUGGUUUAUUUUUAAAAGGGAAAACUUCAAAUACCACCUAUGUGGUUUCGUACUGUCUCACUUUGGUACUCUGUGGUUUAAAGUAUAUCACUUUCGUACCAUGUGAUUUUAUUUUUCUCUUUUUGUUAUCCCCACCAUUAAUUUUUUUUGUAACAAAGUUAAAACUAAAGGGUAUUAAAGUGAAUAUUCGAUAAACUAUAGGUAGGGUAUCUGAAGUUGUUUGUAUAUAAUUUAACAAAAAUUUAACGGAGAGACUGAUGAAAAGAGAAAAAGCCACAGAGUACUAAAUUGAUACACUUUAAACCACGGGGUACUAAAGUGAGAACGUGCGAAACCACAGAGGUGGUAUUUGAAAUUUUUCCUUCUUAAAAAUUUUGGUUUUACUAUCCAAAUUUUUAAUUUAUUUUACUUGAGUCAGUAAAUAAUAUUUUAACUUCAAAAUUUAAACGAGUCAUCUAUCUUUAUAGAUUUUGUCAGUAUACUUUGUACCAUUCUCGCUACUACAAAUUUAUUACAGUGCAAAAUUAGCUUAAAUGUUAACUUAAAUUAAAAAAAAUUGAAAUCACUUGUAUAACUCUGCGAUGUAAUCUAUGUGGUGUAUUAUCUUUUUAUAUAGAUAGGUAAAACAUUUUUCGAUCAUAUUUUCUCAUUGCAUAUAAUAUAUUCUUUUCAAUGUUAGAUCUCGAAUGAAAGAAAAUUUAAAUAUUACUGAAAGUCGAUAUUAUAAAUAUGACAUUUAAUACGUUGAGCGCAAAUAUUCUCUUCGGUUAGAUUUUUAUUUCUUUUUGGGAAAGAUAUUAUUUUGGCAUAGUCCACACUUAUACUUGCGUGCAUAAUGCGUCUUACAUGCAGUAAAAAAGUAUAAUAAAAAUAUAUUCACUUUAUUUUCAUAAACAAUAAAAUAUUUUAUAUGUAUUUACAACCGCAUUGCAGUUGUAGCUGCACUACAAUUAUAACUGCGUGCGUAUUCAAAUCUGGCGUUUGCUUUGAUACAUUUAAAUUCAAUUGUUGCAGUUGUAACUGCACAAGGAAGCUGAAUAGUUGAAACUAUGCCCAAAUUGGCUGUAGUUUUAACUGCAGUACUGCAGUAUUUCGAGAGUAAUUUUAAACAACGAUAAACUUACCUUUUUAAUAACCUUUUUAUAAUUUCUUUUUCCUUUCGUCCAUACAGAGUAAUCUCAUCAAUUCAUAUAUAAAAUGGUAAAAAUUCGUAAAUGCACUUUUCAUUUGUAUGUAACCAAACAAAAUAUUUAUAAACUAUAACGCUUUCUAUUACAUCUAAGCAAACAAAAUGUAUGGAAUUAUAAUUGUUGCAUUUUCAACUACACUGUAUUUAUAGUUACGUUGAACCAAAUUGCCCCUAAUUCGGUUAAAAUAUGAUUCAAAAACCAUAUUUAGGUUGGCCCAAUCUCGUCCAUACAAAGUAAUCUCACCAAUUCAUAUAUAAAAUGGUAUAAAUUGGUAAAUGCACUUUUCAGUCGUAUGUAACCAAACAAAAUAUUUAUAAAUUGUAACACUUUCUACUACAUCUAAGCAAACAAAAUGUAUGGAAUUAUAAUUGUUGCAUUUUCAACUACACUGUAUUUACAGUUACGUUGAACCAAAUUGCCCCUAAUUCGGUUAAAACACGAUUCAAAAACCGUAUUUAGGUUGGCCCAAUUUCGUCCAUACAGAGUAAUCUCACCAAUUCAUAUAUAAAAUGGUAUAAAUUGAUAAAUGCACUUUUCAGUCGUAUGUAACCAAACAAAAUAUUUAUAAACUGUAACGCUUUCUACUACAUCUAAGCAAACAAAAUGUAUGGAAUUAUAAUUGCUAUAUUUUUAACUACACUACAUUUACAGCUAUGUCGAACUAAAUGGCCCCUAAUUCGGUUAAAAUGGGAUUCAAAAACCUUAUUUAGGUUGGCCCAAUUUUGUACCCGGCCCGGCCCACGAAAUCACUUGCUCUAUUAAGGAAAAGGCAAAGUAUUAAUUAGGUUUAUUUUCACUCUCUCUCCUAAAAUCAUAAAUUUUAAUUAUGUUAAACUCUUUUUUUUUUUUUGCUAAUUUAAAUUGUUUGUGUUGGAACAGUGAACAUAUUUUUGUUAUCAUUUUGUACAUUUUAAAUCGAAACACUCCAAUACAUAAACUAUUUUUAAACUAUAUAUAAACAGAGUUGGAUUAUUAUACUUUUAUGAGUGUAGAUUCCUUCGUACUCAUCGAUUAUUUUUUAUGACGGAGCUUCCGAAUUGACGGUUCCAUACUAUUAAAUAUGAUGUAGAGUAUUUGAAACUUUUAGAAAUAAAUUUCGUAAUUUUUCAAAAUUAUAUUAAAGUCCAUCAAGCAGGCAUAAAAUGAAUGGUCAAAAUUAAGCGACCUUCUAAAAACAGAUGAUUGAAUUCUUCAAUUUGACAUUGGAGUUAUUGAUCUUUAUUUAGAUAGUAAAUAAAAUUUUCUAUUAAAAAAUUUAACCAAUUCCGAUUCUUUUACACCGUUGGAUUAGCAAGUAUCUCAUACCGGCCGUUAAAAUUUAUCAAUUUUGAGAUCUUUUGAUCUAAGGUAAAUGAUGUUGAAAAAUUAUGAAAUUUGAUUUCUAAAAGUUUCAGAUGCUCUAAACCAUGUUUAACGGUAUAUAUGGAUCAUUGAUUCGAAAGUUUUAUCAUUGAAAAACGACUUAUGAGUAUGAAGACGAUCGUAUUCAUAAGAAUAUAGUAGCCGGACGCAUAUAAAUAAGUUGUUAGCUUUAAUACCACGAAAUUAACUUCUAAACUUGAGUUAUCUCAAGAGUUAGUAAACUAAUGGCAUAGUUUUUUUUUUUAAUCUUCUCUUGAUUGGAUCUUCAUCUUAACAUUAGAAUCUAAGUACCACCCAUUUUCUUGAGGGACAAUAAUUUAAGUUGUAUUCGUCAAGGUGUUUAUAAUAAAAAAAAAAGGGACAUGGCAACCACAUGCAUGACCUAAUCUAUUAUUAGAAAAAAGAAAAGAAAAGAAAAGAGUACAAUUAUUCAACAACAAUUCAUCCAUAACUAAGAGUACAUAUUUUUAAUUGUGGACAAAAGAACACCUAAAAUAAUUAAUUAAAACAUAAUGAUAGGAGGUCAUGUACAAAAAUUAUGUAGUAGAGUACACCUAGACUCAACAAAGAUGUGAAUGUUUAUAGUUUUGCAUAUGUUAGUAGAGAUUCAACUAGAGUUAUCUUAUUCUUUAAAAUAGAGAUGUCAACGGGUCAGAUUAGGGACAGAUUUUCAGCUACAAUUAUUCUAUAAUAAAAUGGAGGUUAUCAAUCAAACAAGUAUGGUGUUCCUACUAUAGUGAGAAGCAAAUAUGUGAUUUCAAAAGCAAUAUUCUAUAGAAUAUCUAAUUUGAGACUUUUAAUUCUAUUGCAAAUUUAAAUUUUUAGGGUAAAUUUGAUAUGGUGCUUCUCCCAAUAACACUUUUCUCAGACAACAUUGUAUCAGAUCGUUGGCGCUAACCAUUAAUUUCAAAAGCUCGAGCAGCUAGAAAGGUAUAAUCAAUUCACUUAAAAUGUAUAGAUACAGCGUUUACGGGUCUCGAUUGUAACUCAGCCCAAUCAGCCUUCCGCCACUUCGAACAUGACUCAGCCUAAUCUAACCUCCUAUUAUUAAUUUCGAACAUGACUCAGCCCAACCCUGCCUUCUGCCACAGGACAGGAUGUUGGCGCCUUUAAGCCAACGCAAUUGCACCCUGCAACUUGGCCGAAUGGGUAGAAAUUCUAGCUAAGUCAAACAAACCCUAAAAGGGUACUUGUCUCAUGUAGUUGUGCCGAAACAACUGAUUAUUGAAUACUUAACUGGAAAAUAAUAUUUUAAUAUAUAAUUAUAUAUUCAAGACUCUCCCUCUUGUUUGGGUUCGAGAUUUUCUUUCGUUCUUUUUUUUUAUAAAGCCUCCAAUUUUGUGGGAAUGAACUAAAUGAUAUUAAGAGCAUAUAUGGUGUAGGACUUUAUGCUCAGAAAUCAUGUGGAACAACUGAUUAUUUUAAUAAACUUAAUUUACUAAACAAUUAUGCUUAAUAUUUUGGAUUCAACAUGUCAUAAGUUGAAACACCCACAAAGAUUUAAGAAAAAAUUAAUAAGUUGAGACACCCACAAAGAUUUAAUAAAAAAUUAAGUCCCUCUUCUGAUAAUGAGAAGGGAUCUUUCAAUAGCUAAUUUUUUAAAAAAAAAAAAAUGGAGAAGGGGUUUUUCAAAAAAAGAAAUACCUUUAUCCUUAAGUAAUUAGGUAAACUUUAUUCUCAGCCAUAGUAUAAUCUCCAAUAAUUGUGUUUUUUUAAUUGUUUUUCUCAUUUGACCUUGAUCUUUGGUACCUUGGAUUUAUUUAAUAUUUAGAAGAUAAACCUAAUCUACUAUGUGGAUGUAGAUGAAACCAAUAAAAGGACAAGAAAUUAAUGGCUUAAAGGGAGCUCUUUAGUACAAUUCAUAGCACAUAAGAAAUAUAUAUAUAUAUAUAUAUAUGCUACUAAUAGCACGAAGUACUUGAUGCUACCAAGUUUUCCGCCGUUGGAUCUAUCCUUUUGAUCAUUUUCACCCGUUAGAUCAUACUAUUCAACUAACCACCCACUCCGCCCUAGGGGGCCCACAUCAUCCUAACCACACAUCUCUUAAUCCAAUGGCCAAAAACUUGGUAGCACCAAUGACUUGGUGCUAUUAAUAGCAUAGGCCUAGUUAUAUAUAUAUAUAUAUAUAUAUAUAUGAAUUGAGCUAGAAUACUUUUGGAAGCACCAAUCAUUUAAUGCUUCUAAAUUUCUAGCCCUUGAAUCUACUCUUUGAUUACUAAUAGCCUUUGGAUCAAACACUAUUCCACCUACCACCAUUUACCACCAUCAUCCCAAUCUCACAUCUGUCUAUCCAAUGGCUAAAAACUCAAAAACAGCACCUUCAUGGUGCUUUUGAUCUUCUAGACCUCAGCUCUCUCUUUCUCUCUCUCUCUCUAUAUAUAUAUAUAUAUAUUAUUUUUUUUUUUUUUUGAGAGCUAGGUAGCAUGCUACCCGCUUCGUUUAUUUCAUUUAGAAAUAAACUUAGCUAGAAAUGUGAAUCAACUAGGAUUCGAACUUGGGUCUCGGGUAUCAACUACUAAGCUCUUUACCACUUACUCUAGGGACGGUCAGUUAUAUAUAUAUAUUGUUAAGUAUAUUAUUGGGCUUGUUUUCAAUUAUAUUGAUUUUUUUUAUAUUUUUGAGCCAGUUCUAAACUCCUUCAGUUCUAAGAGGCACAGAGAGUUUGUUUAAUUCAUUGUAUUUUCGAGAUUUCCAGAUAUAUGGGUUAGAAAUUGAGGAUCUGU